This 567-nucleotide ribosomal RNA is filed under the name Aspergillus amstelodami. RNAcentral's name for it is "eukaryotic LSU rRNA". It matches the Rfam family "Eukaryotic large subunit ribosomal RNA", at positions 1 to 571 of the family's 3401-position model. Lineage: Eukaryota; Fungi; Ascomycota; Eurotiomycetes; Eurotiales; Aspergillaceae. The record is from RNAcentral.
UUGACCUCGGAUCAGGUAGGGAUACCCGCUGAACUUAAGCAUAUCAAUAAGCGGAGGAAAAAGAAACCAACCGGGAUUGCCUCAGUAACGGCGAGUGAAGCGGCAAGAGCUCAAAUUUGAAAUCUGGCCCCUCCGGGUCCGAGUUGUAAUUUGUAGAGGAUGCUUCGGGUGCGGCCCCCGUCUAAGUGCUCUGGAACGGGCCAUCGGAGAGGGUGAGAAUCCCGUCUGGGACGGGGUGUCCGCGUCCAUGUGAAGCUCCUUCGACGAGUCGAGUUGUUUGGGAAUGCAGCUCUAAAUGGGUGGUAAAUUUCAUCUAAAGCUAAAUACUGGCCGGAGACCGAUAGCGCACAAGUAGAGUGAUCGAAAGAUGAAAAGCACUUUGAAAAGAGAGUUAAACAGCACGUGAAAUUGUUGAAAGGGAAGCGCUUGCGACCAGACUCGCUUCCGGGGUUCAGCCGGCUUUCGGGCCGGUGUACUUCCCCGGGGGCGGGCCAGCGUCGGUUUGGGCGGCCGGUCAAAGGCCCCUGGAAUGUAACCGCUCCUCGGGGCGCCUUAUAGCCAGGGGUG